This 229-nucleotide ribosomal RNA is filed under the name Staphylococcus aureus. Its description in RNAcentral is "partial 23S ribosomal RNA". It matches the Rfam family "Bacterial large subunit ribosomal RNA", at positions 1 to 226 of the family's 2925-position model. Lineage: Bacteria; Bacillati; Bacillota; Bacilli; Caryophanales; Staphylococcaceae. The record is from RNAcentral.
AGAUUAAGUUAUUAAGGGCGCACGGUGGAUGCCUUGGCACUAGAAGCCGAUGAAGGACGUUACUAACGACGAUAUGCUUUGGGGAGCUGUAAGUAAGCUUUGAUCCAGAGAUUUCCGAAUGGGGAAACCCAGCAUGAGUUAUGUAAUGUUAUCUAUGUGCUAAUACAUAGCAUAUCAGAACGCACACCCGAAGACCAGAAACUGCUUAGCAUCCGGAGUAAGAGAAAGA